Molecule: small nuclear RNA, 106 nt
Organism: Callithrix jacchus (white-tufted-ear marmoset)
Lineage: Eukaryota; Metazoa; Chordata; Mammalia; Primates; Cebidae
Source: Ensembl
GUGCUCGCUUCGGCAACACAUAUACUAAAUUGGAACGAUACAGAGAAGAUUAGCAUGGCCCCUGUGCAAGGAUGACAUGCAAAUUCGUGAAGCGUUCCAUAUUUUA